Molecule: ribosomal RNA, 485 nt
Filed under: uncultured bacterium Riz1078
Lineage: Bacteria
Description: bacterial SSU rRNA
Rfam family: Bacterial small subunit ribosomal RNA
Source: RNAcentral
AGAGUUUGAUCCUGGCUCAGGACGAACGCUGGCGGCGUGCCUAAUACAUGCAAGUCGAGCGAACAUUUGAGAGCUUGCUCUCAAAUGUUAGCGGCGGACGGGUGAGUAACACGUGGGCAACCUGCCUAUAAGACUGGGAUAACUUCGGGAAACCGGAGCUAAUACCGGAUAAUUCACAUNUACUCAUGUAGAUGUGCUGAAAGACGGUUUACGCUGUCACUUAUAGAUGGGCCCGCGGCGCAUUAGCUAGUUGGUGAGGUAACGGCUCACCAAGGCCACGAUGCGUAGCCGACCUGAGAGGGUGAUCGGCCACACUGGGACUGAGACACGGCCCAGACUCCUACGGGAGGCAGCAGUAGGGAAUCUUCCGCAAUGGACGAAAGUCUGACGGAGCAACGCCGCGUGAGUGAUGAAGGUUUUCGGAUCGUAAAACUCUGUUGUUAGGGAAGAACAAGUACCGGAGUAACUGCCGGUACCUUGACGGU